Molecule: long non-coding RNA, 5634 nt
Organism: Alexandromys fortis (reed vole)
Lineage: Eukaryota; Metazoa; Chordata; Mammalia; Rodentia; Cricetidae
Exons: 6
Source: RefSeq, a predicted model, not a curated record
AGGGAACAGUGACCAGGAGAUGCUGUAGAAACUCAGGGAACAAUGACCAGGAGAUGCUGUAGAAACUCAGGGAACAAAGACCAGGAGAUGCUGUAGAAACUCAGGGAACAAUGACCAGGAAAUGCUGUAGAAACUCAGGGAACAAUGACCAGGAGAUGCAGUGAAACUCAGCAACGUAGCAGCAGUGGCUCCAGAAAGCUUUAAAGUGGUGAAGCCACAGAACCUGAAGAGGUGAUGAGUUUCAGGGGAGUGGCAGCAAGGAAAGCUGCAGACCCAAGUGUGAGUAUGGUUUCUUCAGGAAGCCCCAUGUACCACAAGCCAGUCAGCAUGCAGAGGAGGACUGGAGGAGAAGGGAAUGAGAAACUGAGUCAGAGGUGUGAAACUGAACAAACUAAAAAAGCAUGCCAAAGCUCUAGAUGAAAAAUGAGUGUUGGGAAAGGUUGCUUUCGGUGAAAGAUGCAAUGAUAACGUUCUCUCAUUUCCUACCUUUUUACAUUUGUUGGUUUUCUGAUCAUGGAAAAUGAGAUAAGCCUUACUUGAAAAUGAAGAGUGAGAGAAAAAGGAAGCAAUGGCAGGAAGCAAACUUGGAGGGUGGAUUGAGCCGUUACUUUUGUCUCCAGCUUGUGAGGAUCUUGCAGCCUUCGUAUAUGAGGGGAAGGUUAAGAGUACUUCGGUGGAGCCGGGACUCCAGGUAGACGCAGCAAGGGUGUGACAUGGGGCAGGAAUAUUUUUUAGUGGCGAGUUCUGUGGCACACUGUAUUGCUCCUACCUUCAUGCAAAGCGCACUUCCCUUAAACUUCCUAGCUCGACGUCAUGAAACUCAAAAGCUGCAACUCACCUUGACCAGACUGUUCACAGUGCAAAUGCAGUUAUCUCUGGCCUCAUCUUUGUCAGGCCAGGGGAGACGAGGAAGACUAGAGAGCUGACGACAGAUGGCCGUAAGAAUGCUUCAUCUGUCUUCAGAUUCAGCUGCAGGUCUCCAUCACUCAGUAGUCUAUGCUCCUAACGAUUGACCUUGGGAGCAAACCCGGGUUCGAAUCCCAACUGUACUUACUGGCUAUAGGAACUCGAUUACAUUCCUCAUCUUCUCUGAAGAGCUUGCUCAUCGGUGGGAUAAUCAUAGCUCCCUGCUGUCAGGUUGCAACAAGAAGAAAGCGGGGUUUGACAAGGUGGGGCCUCACCCAGUGCGUGUGCAGGGCUCAGCAGUGUUCCCUGGAGGAGUGGGAGCAGCUUAAGACCAACCUGAGCCUUCCCCACCCAGCCGCUCGAAUCCAGCCACUUUCCUGUAAUUGCUCUCCUGACUUAAUCCACUUACUGAAAAAGAGGAAAUAUUCCCAGGAGAACUGAAAUCACCCUUAACUUCCCUGCUCUAAACUGCCUUUUCUUCCAGUAUUUUUCCAUAUUCUUUUUGCCUUUUUCCCAACAAAGUAGAAAUCAAAAUUUUAAACUUAGGUUUAACCCUGGAGCAUUGUGAUUGAUGCCUAUCACAUGCACACUGCAUAAAUAAACAUUACCCUAUUGUUAGAUAUUUAAAUUGCUUCCAUUUUUACCUAUAGAAAGGGUACAGCAAUUAACAUCUUAUUAUAUCAAUAUUCAUGUGUAUAUCUGAUAGAGCUAACUCUAGAACAGAUUCCCGCUGAUUGUGGUGAUGCACACCUUUAAUCUCAUCACUCAAGACGCUGAGACCAGAAAAUGCAGAGUUCAAGAUCAGCCAGGUCUACAUAGCAAGACCCUAUUCUCAACCAGAGUAAAAGUACUGGGUUAAUAUCCAUAAGCACACACGAGGCUGCUAGUGCAGCAGUUGCCUUUCAGAAAGCUUAUUCCCCUGGAGAGAUGGCUCAGAGGUUAUGAACACUGGUUGUUCUUCCAGAGGUCCUGAGUUCAAUUCCCAGCAACCACAUGGUGGCUCACCACCAUCUUUAGUGAGAUCUGACACCCUCUUCUGGCCUGCAGGCAUACAUGCAGACAGAACACUGUGUACAGAAAGCCUGUGCCACUUUCUGUCACCAUUCCCCCUCACUAUUAAAUCACCGCGUUCAUCCAUGACAUGCGUGCCAACAUGGAGUAUUAUCAUUUAAAAAAUUUUUACAAUAUUUAUAAAUGUAUACUCCAAUCCAAAUGAUAAUAUUUCAGACAAAUUCCUAAACAUACUAUUAAUAACUAGUAAUUCUUUUAAAAUCUGGUAUGCUGAACAAUGAUUUAAUCUCUUAAUAUUUACUCGUGCCCUGCUAUGAUCUCUGUGUUGAACGAAACAAGUUCACUCCUGCUUCUGAUCCAUGGGAUUCACACAUCACCCUGUUCGGCUCCGUAACUGAGACAGGGUCUUUCGACUCAGUCCUGGCUGGACUUGAACUGUUCAGACAUCAGCAAGCUAUACUAAAGCCCUAACCUGAAGUCUAUAAACUAGAACCUGUGCUGACUAGUCUACGUCAACUUGACACAUGCUAAAGCUGUCUGAAGGGCGGGAACCUCGAUUGAGAAAAUGCCUCCAUAAGAUCUGGCUGUAGGGCAGUUUCUUAAUUAGAGAUUGAUGACGGAGGGCCCGGCUUCCUCUGGAGAGAUCAUCUGAGCAAGUGGUUCUGGGUUCUGUUAGCAAGCAGGCUGAACAAGCCAUGGGAAGCAAGCCAGUAAGCAGCUCCCCUUCCUGGCCUCUGCCCCAGCUCCUGCCUCCACCUCCCUGUCCUGCUCUGACUUCUUUCAGUGAGACUACAAUGUAGAAGUGUAAGCUGAAUAAACUCUUUCUGCCCUGGGUGGCUUUUGGUGAAGGUGUUUCAUUGGUACAAUAGUAACCCUGACCAGACAAACCCCAUCCUUGUGGCUUUUGUCUACAUCAAGAAUUAUAAGCUUCCUGGCCACAAGCAAAGCGAAACUUUUCCUGUUUCCCGGCACAACCAGCAAAGCCUGCCAUGGUGUAUGUUUGAUGCACCUGCUUCAGAAAAGCUUACAGAGCCUGGCAUGAAUCAAAGAGGACCACACCAAUGACGGCCACCACCAGGAGGAGGAUGCCACUCGCAAUGGCCCCGACCUGCAACAAAGCAACGGAGGAAGACAAACGGCAGCACCGCACAGCGAGGGAAGGAAGGAUCUCUAGGUUCCCACCAUUCCUUGGCCACCCCUCAGCACUUUCCGGAUGAUGUCGUUCACACCGGGUACCUGAUGAGGGAAAGCCAAAACCCAGGGGCUGCAGAGUGGUGUGGAUCGAGGUCAAACGUCAACGGAAAUUCCAUGAUGGCACCAUGAGGGCCAGUAAGUGUGUCAUUGGACUACAGAUAGACACCAGCGAAUGUUCCAGCCAGUCUGCUAUGACAGCCUGUGGUACCAGACGGCGUCUUUAUGACCCCAAGAAUCACACCCUGGAAUUCGCUGCUCCAUCGGCUUCCCUGUGGGCACCAAGUGUGCCAGCCAGGGUCAGCACACAUGAAGCUGGGUUCCAGAAGUGGCCAAAGUUGUACCUCCUGUUAGCGGCUGACCUUGGAAGUGUAAGCGUCACCCAGGUGGUACUGGUUUGGAAGACAUGAAGCGGUCCUGGAGAACACCUGAGGCUUGGCGCUGGGAGAAGCCAGGUGAAGCCCCAACAGUGAACCGGUCCUGCAGAGAAGUUGAGGCCUGGCACAAUGAGGAGAGGCCAGGAGAGGCUGUUGGCUAAAGUGCAGCCCAGAACAGCAGCAGCAGAGGAUAGAGCCUGCCCCAGCCUAGAGGACAAGCUGUGUGUGUGACAGAGUGGAGAAGUGACCCAAGCCCUUUGGAGGAGCCCAGAAGAUGGCUCAAGGAACAUCUAAGAGGAGAGGCAGGAAGACUACAAGAAGCGGAGCCAAGCUACUGUGACUGUACCAUGACUGUACCCAUGAACUCAGCAGCAGCUGCCAUUGCUGACACAAGAUCUGCACAGGAUCAAGCCAAUCAGGACUCCGCCCCCUGCACCGACCCUUAAGGGCUGACUGCUCCACAUGGGAGAGUGUUUUCUUCAGUAGCCCACAGUCAUUGCCCCAUGCUCCAGGAAUACAUCCAUGAGCAUCUGGGUGGCUCUGAGACUCAGUGGGGUUCUGUUGUUGUUUGGUUGAUUUCUGGCAGAAAGUGGGGGGGGGGAGGCAGCCUGCGAGGAGUGGGAGCAGAGAAUAUUGUUGUAUAUGAUCUAACUACAUUGUAUGCACAUAUGAAAUUAUCAAAGAAUAAAUCGAGGAGUGGGAGCAGAGAAUGUUGUUGUAUAUGAUCUAACUACAUUGUAUGCACAUAGAAAAUUAUCAAAGAAUAAAUCUUAAAAUAUGGCUUUAAAACCUUUGCUCAUGAGCUGGAGAGUUGAAUCAGGAGUCAGGGAGCAUGGGUUACUCUUGCAGAAGGCAAGGGUUCAAUUCCCUGCACCCACGUGCUGUCUAUAAUUUCACUCACAGAGGAUAUGAUGCCCUCUUCUGGCUUCCUGAGGCUCCAGGUACACAAGUGCUGCACACACACACACACACACACACACACACACACACACACAUUUAUAAACUAGAACCUUCAUUCGGGUUACUUUGCAGCGCUGUCUUUAUUUUCCUACAAGCAGUUUUAAGAGAGUCAAAACACGUGCCUGAAGAUAUUAUGUAAUUAGAAGACUCUUCCAGCAGCAGAAGGCACUUUUCCCUCAAACUAGUGAGGAACUGCACUAUUUUUGAAUCCUGUCUCUUCUCAAGACAGCAUUAUAUGCUCUAUGCCAGAAAGCAUUUGGUAAAAAAAAGCAAAUAAAAAGUUGCCUGUUCAUUAACUUUCACAGCGGCACCAAAGAAUAGAAACCUAACAGAACCUAUGUCUGAGGGAAGAUGAGACCCCUCUAACAGUCCCUAGAAGGUCCUGAGAGCCGCACACAAGCAACCGGUAACCUCCAUGUGUUUACCCUGUGCAGGGGGUAGGCCGUUUAGCUGGUCGCAGAAGCAGGUCUCUGAAGGCAACAACUUUGAGCAGAAAACAAAUGCGCGGAGGAAAGUGCAGUUAAUUUAACAUUUUGUACACACUGAUCAAUAGUCCACAAGCACGUGUACUUGGACCAGAGGAAAAAGAAGGAUUUGCCCAUUUCCCUUGGGUCUGUGGCCUUGGUCCUUGUCAUGGCAAUGCUCACAUCAAUCAUGUGCAUUCACUCGGGACAUAGUCAUGUCUGUCUGUCUGUCUCUCCACCCCCCAUCUCGUGUGUGUAUUAAAAGAUCCUAUCCUAUAGGAAGCUCCUUAAGUAGAAAGGAAAAUAAAACAGCUUCAAGAAGUCCCUGAAACUGACUAGAUUCACUAGGUUUCUCCCUACCAGAGUAAACAAGUCAAGAGGCAAAGAAGGCGAAGACCAGACAAGCUGCCUGGAAGAGGUUUAGACCAACUGAGUCACAUGGGAAGAACACUCUCCAAACUGUUGAGCUGCUUGCAGGCUGUGCAGUGUGCACCAGGUUCACAGCUUUUGUAAGCUGUCACCUGUUGAAAUAAGAACGGCGGGGCUGCGUCCCCAACACCCCGGCCGCUUGGCUAGCUCAUGCCCGAAAUAACAACACACAAACUGUAUUCAUUUAAGAACUGCUUGGCCCAUGAACUCUAGCCCUUACAGGCUAAUUCUCGCACCUGGACUAGCCCAUUUCUAGUAAUGUGUGUAAGCACCCCAAGGUGCGCUUACCGGGAAGA